This 253-nucleotide ribosomal RNA is filed under the name uncultured bacterium. Its description in RNAcentral is "partial 16S ribosomal RNA". It matches the Rfam family "Bacterial small subunit ribosomal RNA", at positions 524 to 776 of the family's 1533-position model. The record is from RNAcentral.
UACGUAGGGUGCAAGCGUUGUCCGGAAUUAUUGGGCGUAAAGAGCUCGUAGGCGGUUCGUCGCGUCGGCUGUGAAAACCCGGAGCUCAACUCCGGGCCUGCAGUUGAUACGGGCAGGCUAGAGUUCGGUAGGGGAGACUGGAAUUCCUGGUGUAGCGGUGAAAUGCGCAGAUAUCAGGAGGAACACCGGUGGCGAAGGCGGGUCUCUGGGCCGAUACUGACGCUGAGGAGCGAAAGCGUGGGGAGCGAACAGG